This 454-nucleotide non-coding RNA is filed under the name Cavia porcellus (domestic guinea pig). RNAcentral describes it as "Archaeal large subunit ribosomal RNA". The stretch from base 48 to 454 matches the Rfam family "Eukaryotic large subunit ribosomal RNA", at positions 1 to 404 of the family's 3401-position model. The record is from Rfam by way of RNAcentral. Lineage: Eukaryota; Metazoa; Chordata; Mammalia; Rodentia; Caviidae.
GUCGGUCUGUUGGUUGGUUGGUUCGUUGUCCCCUUUCCUCCGAGAGGCGACCUCAGAUCAGACGUGGUGACCUGCUGAACUUUAAGCACAUUGGUCAGCGCAGAAAAAGAAACAAGGAUUCCCUCAGUAAAGGCGAGUGAACAGGGAAGAGCCCAGCGCCGAAUCCCCGCCCCACGGUGGGUCGCCUGUAAUGUGGCGUGUGCCAGACCCACUCCCCAGCACUGCUCUGGGGGCCCAAGUCCUCUGACGGAGGCCCAGCCCGUGGACGGUCUGAGGCUGGUGAUGGCCCCUGGCGCACCCGGUCGGGUCUUCCCGGAGUCUGCUUGCUUGGGAAUGCAGCCCAAAGUGGGUGGUAAUCUCCAUCUGAGGUUAAAUACCAGCAGGAGACUGAUAACAAGUACCACAAGGGAAAGUUGAAAAGAACUUUGAAGAGAGAGUUCCAGAGGGCCUAAAA